GGGGGACAGGGUGACAGGUGGUGCAUGGUUGUCGUCAGCUCGUGUCGUGAGAUGUUGGGUUAAGUCCCGCAACGAGCGCAACCCUCGCCUCUAGUUGCCAGCAUUCGGUUGGGCACUCUAGAGGGACUGCCGGCGACAAGUCGGAGAAGUGGGGAUGACGUCAAAUCAUCAUGCCCCUUAUGACCUGGGCUACACACGUGCUACAAUGGGCGGUACAAAGGGCUGCGAACCCGCGAGGGGGAGCGAAUCCCAAAAAGCCGCUCUCAGUUCGGAUUGCAGGCUGCAACUCGCCUGCAUGAAGCCGGAAUCGCUAGUAAUCGCGGAUCAGCAUGCCGCGGUGAAUACGUUCCCGGGCCUU
This 358-nucleotide ribosomal RNA is filed under the name uncultured Geobacillus sp. Its description in RNAcentral is "bacterial SSU rRNA". It matches the Rfam family "Bacterial small subunit ribosomal RNA", at positions 1021 to 1382 of the family's 1533-position model. Lineage: Bacteria; Bacillati; Bacillota; Bacilli; Caryophanales; Anoxybacillaceae. The record is from RNAcentral.